Long non-coding RNA from Marmota monax (woodchuck), 3073 nucleotides. RefSeq lists it as uncharacterized. Lineage: Eukaryota; Metazoa; Chordata; Mammalia; Rodentia; Sciuridae. The record is from RefSeq and is a predicted model, not a curated record. The transcript has 3 exons.
CCCGGCUUUCCCGCCGUGGUGCCCGGGUCCGCGUCCCCCGCCCGCUCGCUCGCUGUGCUCCAUUCGGACCGGAGGGAGGCUCGGCCAGGCGGGCCCGGGAGCCGAUCCGCGUCCUCCCCUAGAUGGCGAGGCAGUCGAUUAUGCCAGAGCCACCCAGCGAAUGUGUCUGGAGCCAGGACAGAACCAGACGGAGCCUGGCCUAUGGAGCGAGGGCUGCAGCCCCAGGGGCAGUCGCCCAGCGGUUCCACACGGUCUUUGUAGUUUACCUCCCUGAGCCAGCUCUGCUCUAGUGAUUAUAGAAGGGCUGGUUCAUCCCUGUUUCACAGUGGCCCUGGAAGACCUGCUUCUGACCUCUUGUAGAUGAGCCAAUGCAAGCCUGGGGGGUGGCUGAUGACUUGAAGUCACUCAGCUCUACUGAGAGCUGGUGAACCCAGGGGUCCGGACUCCCAGCCUAGUGUAUUUCGGACAAGAGGCCUGCGGAAGUGGGAUAUGGAGCCUAAUCUUGCCAACCACUCUGCCACACAGGUCCUCUGUCUUUUUGCCUGGAGGCCAGAAUUCCAGCCCACCUCACCUGAGAAAUGCGAAAGCUGCGAUGUUGGCUGCAUUUAAUUAAAACAUGCUCUCAGUCUUUAAAAAAAAAAAAAAAAAUUCAGAGUUUGUGUUGGAUUUGACAAAACUGGGGUCCUAUUAAGAUCAUCAUUUUUUUUUUUUUCUGUAACUUAGACAACCCAACAAUACAGGUCUCAUCUGAUUGUUGUGGCUGCAAGAGCAGAGGCCUAGUCUUUUUCAUGGUCUUGGUACUGUAUCUGCGGUGCCUGGGACUCUGAUGUUCAAAAUCUUCUUUUGAAUGAAUGAAUUGAUUUAUAGACUGGAAAUCUGAGAUUUAGGUUGACUUACUGGAGUAAGGCCCUGUAAUAGUGACAGAGCUGAGACUCAAAAUGAUGUUUUCUGACACAGAGAUACAGGCCCUUUCUAAUCCAUACUGUCUCAGGAUCAGAUUGUUCAAACUGAAGAAGCGGACCUCGGGGACCACCGAAUCCAUCCCCAUCAUUUCCCAAUGAAGACGUGAGCUGGAAGCCUAACACAAAUCCUUGUUUUAAGAUGGGGUCGUGCUAUGUUGCUCGGCUGGUCUUGAAUUCCUCCUGCCUCAACCUCCAGAGUAUUUUGGACUACGGGUUCACACCACCAUGCCCAGCUUUGUACUAUUAGUAUUAGUCAACUCCUCUCCUUCAGUCUCCUCAGACAAGCCUAAACCACAGCCCUGAUUAGAGAGAGAGAGAGAGAAAAUUUCAAUAUUUAUUUUUCAGUUUUCGGCGGACACAACAUCUUUGUUUGUAUGUGGUGCUGAGGAUCGAACCCGGGCCGCACGCAUGCCAGGCGAGCGCGCUACCGCUUGAGCCACAUCCCCAGCCCCUGGCUUUAAAUUCUUGAUCCUCCUGUCUUGGCCUCCUGAGUCACUGGGAUUAUAGGCACGUGCCAUUGUGCCUGGCUUAAUACUUCAUUUCUUGAAAUCAACUUUUUUAUUGAGGUAUAAAUUGCAUACCAUGAAUGAGUUAAACAUCAUUACCUUAAGUACAUGUAUGAAGACACAAAUGGUGUGAACAUACUUUGUGUACAAUCAGUGACUUGAAAAAUUGUGCUCUAUUUAUGAAUGAAAUGAAUUGUAUUCUUCCAUCAUGUAUAACAAAUUAGAAUAAAUAAAUAAUAAUAAUAAAUAAAUUGCAUACCAUAAAAUUUACCCCUUGUUUAUUUGGUGCUGGGGAUAGAACUCAGGGUCUCAUGCAUGCUAAGCACAUGUUCUACCACUUAGCUACACCCCCAGUUUCCAAAUUCACUAUUUAAAAUGUAUAGAUCAGUAUUUUUUUUUUUUUUAGAGAGAGAGAGAGAAUUUUAAUAUUUAUUUUUUAGUUAUCGGUGGGCACAACAUCUUUGUUUGUAUGUGGUGCUGAGGAUCCAACCUGGACCGCACGCAUGCCAGCCGGGCACGCUACCGCUUGAGCCAUAUCCCCAGCCCCUAGAUUAGUAGUUUAUAUGCCAUUCACAAGACUGUGCAAUUAGCACCACUGUCUAAUUCCAGAACAUUUUUAUCAUUCCCUAAAUUAACUUGCAUACCCAUCAGUGGUCACUGCCCACAUCCCUGCCCUUCAGCUUCUGACCACUACUAAUUUGCCUCUGUCUAUUCUUUUGAAUCUGGCUUAUUUCACUUAACAUGAUGUUUUCGGAGCUAAUCCCAGUUGUGGCAUUUAUCAGUACUUUGUUUCUUUUUACAUUGGAACAAUAUCCUGUUGCAUGGGCAAACCAUAUUAAACCCAGGAGCAUUCUACCACUGAGCUACGUUUCUAGCCCUUUCUAUUUUUUUUUUUUUUUUUGAGACAGGAUCUUACUUAAUUGCUUAGGGCCUCACUAAUUGCUGAGGCUGGCCUGGGACUUGCAACCUUUCCACCUCAGCUUUCCAAAUUGCUGGAAUUAUGGUGUGCACCAUUGCACCUGGCUCUGCUAUGAACAUUGUGUUUUUUUUUUUUUUUUUUAAAGUUGUUGAUGAACCUUUGUUUAAUUUAUUUAUUUAUAUGUGAUGCAGAUAAUUGAACCCAGUGCCUCACACAUGCCAGGCAAGCCUCUACCACUCAGCCACAACCCCAGAUCCUGUUAUGAACGUUUGUAUAAGCAUUUUUGUGCAAAUAUAUCUAGAGUUCUCUUGGAUGUAUAUCUACAAGUGAAAUUGCUGGAUCGUAUGCUAACUCUAUGUUUAAUUUUUUAAGGAGCUGUCAAACUGUUUUCUAUACCAGCUGCACUGUUUUACACCACUACCAGCAGGAUAUGGGAGUUUCAAUUUUCCUAAGUCUCUACCAACUCUUAUUAUUAUCUGACUUUUUUGUUAUAUUCUUUCUAGUAGAUGUGAAGGGGUAUGCUUAUUGGCCAUCUGAAUAUCUUUUUUGGAGAGAUGUCUAUCCAGUCCCUUCCUUGUUUCUCUUUCUCUCUCUCUCUCUCUCUCUCUCUCUCUCUCUCUCUCUCUCUCUCUCUCUCUUUCCUGGUACUGGGAAUGAAACCCACAGGUACUCUACCACUGAGCCAC